UAGCACCAUACUGUGCAGUUCCUAUAAGCUC
This 31-nucleotide non-coding RNA is filed under the name Mus musculus (house mouse). Lineage: Eukaryota; Metazoa; Chordata; Mammalia; Rodentia; Muridae. The record is from RNAcentral.